UACGUAGGGUGCGAGCGUUAAUCGGAAUUACUGGGCGUAAAGCGUGCGCAGGCGGAUGUUUAAGUCAGAUGUGAAAUCCCCGGGCUCAACCUGGGAAUGGCAUUUGAAACUGGGCAUCUAGAGUGCGUCAGAGGGGGGUGGAAUUCCACGUGUAGCAGUGAAAUGCGUAGAGAUGUGGAGGAAAACCGAUGGCGAAGGCAGCCCCCUGGGAUGACACUGACGCUCAUGCGCGAAAGCGUGGGGAGCAAACGGGAUUAGAUCCCCUGGUAGUCCACGCCCUAAACUAUGCCAACUAGUUGUUGGGGACGUAAGUUCUUAGUGACGAAGCCAACGCGUGAAGUUGACCGCCUGGGGAGUACGGCCGCAAGGUUG
RNAcentral lists this ribosomal RNA (372 nucleotides) under uncultured prokaryote. RNAcentral's name for it is "bacterial SSU rRNA". It matches the Rfam family "Bacterial small subunit ribosomal RNA", at positions 524 to 896 of the family's 1533-position model. The record is from RNAcentral.